Long non-coding RNA from Anneissia japonica, 287 nucleotides. RefSeq lists it as uncharacterized. NCBI's taxonomy places the organism in Eukaryota, Metazoa, Echinodermata, Crinoidea, Comatulida, Comatulidae. The record is from RefSeq and is a predicted model, not a curated record. The transcript has 3 exons.
GAAAAGAGCCACCAAAGGCUGUAACGGCGUUCCAUAAGGAAGAAGAUGUUGAGGAAAUGCCAUCUCAGACCAAAAAAGAAAAACAACGAAAUCUAUAUACCGACGAAAACGGGAGGUUGAAAGUGUAAAUAAGUACAGAAACUACAUAGCAGCUUUGCAAACCAGGGAGGAGAUCUUGAGUACUCUUUGUGGUUCUCUCUUGUCAAAAAAGACUGGGUAGCUGAAAAAAAUCUUGUCAAGUCUACAUUCGAAUACGCUGUGAACAUAAUUGAAAUGGCUCUGUACAU